GAUGAACGCUGGCGGCGUGCCUAAUACAUGCAAGUCGAGCGAACAGACGAGUAGCUUGCUCCUCUGACGUUAGUGGCGCACGGGUGAGUACCACGUGGAUAACCUCCCUAUAUGACUGGGAUAACUUCUAGACACCGGAGCUAGUACCGGAUGAUAUAUUGCACCGCAUGGUUCGAUAGUGUAAGAUGGUUUUGCUGUUGCUUCUAUAUCGUUCCGCGCCGCAUUAGAUAGUUGGUAAGGUAACGGUUAACCAAGACAACGAUGCGUAGCCGACCUGAGAGAGUGACCGGCCACACUGGAACUGAGUGACGGUCCAGACUGCUACGGGAGGCAGCAGUAGGGAAUCAUCGGCAAUGGGCGAAAGCCUGACGCAGCAACGCCGCAUGGGUUAUGAAGGCCUUCGGAUCUGAAAACACUGGGAUUAGGGAUGAACAAAUGUGUAAGUAACUAUGGACGUCUUGACGGUACCUAAGCAGAAAGCCACGGCUAACUACGUG
This 497-nucleotide ribosomal RNA is filed under the name uncultured bacterium. Its description in RNAcentral is "partial 16S ribosomal RNA". It matches the Rfam family "Bacterial small subunit ribosomal RNA", at positions 28 to 507 of the family's 1533-position model. The record is from RNAcentral.